Molecule: non-coding RNA, 79 nt
Filed under: Agrococcus pavilionensis RW1
Lineage: Bacteria; Bacillati; Actinomycetota; Actinomycetes; Micrococcales; Microbacteriaceae
Also listed under: 1 other name
Description: ZMP/ZTP riboswitch aptamer (pfl RNA motif)
Rfam family: ZMP/ZTP riboswitch aptamer (pfl RNA motif)
About the family: Previously known as pfl RNA.
Source: Rfam by way of RNAcentral
GGGAGCGGCCGUGACUGGCGCAAUGGUGGAGCACCACCGGGGAGCGGCCGAGCAGCCGCCGCGCGCCUGGGCAUCCGAA